CUCAGAUACCCCUCAAGCUCCUGAAGAAGGUGAAGAUGUUCAAGAAGAUGAUCGUAGUACUGUCUCCUUUUUCAGUGCAGAUUCUGCAAGUUUGGAUGGUUCUUUAGAAAAUCCCUGGGAUGCAGUUCCUGGAAUAACCUUGAGCACCUCCAGUGAUGCCUCUAGCACAUCCCAUGGCCUUCCCCAGGUGCAGCAAAUGCUUUUGGCCAGUCCUGCUGAAGAAGCAAGGCCAGAAUCCAACACUAGCACCCCACGUCUCCCGGAGCCUUGUGAUAAUACACCUCACUGUAGCUCUGAGCACGCUGCACCACCGAAGUUCCCGUCGCUGUUUCAUUCUCAGAACAGUGAAUUUCUCAUCGAAACGGCCAAACAGAAACCCAACUUGGUUAUGUCAACCGCAUCAGGCCAGGCCAGCGAACUUGCAGACAGCCUUCCUUGUGGCCAGCCAUUAAAUAAAUCCUACCUUCCUUUUUCUCCUGUUCGUCAUUCCAAAGAGGGCGACUUCUCCUUGGAGCCGGUGUCUGAAAAUAGGAAGGAUUGUCUAUCCCUUACCCAUGGAGCUAAAGGGAUGACAGCUAGGUGGAAAUACUUUGAAACUGAGAAAUAUGUGUCAGCUCAAAGGAAACAGGUGCCAAACGAAGGAGAACCUUCUGCGACUUCUACUCCAACUUGUAGUAGUAACAAUCUGGAAGCCGUAGGGCAUUGCUCUACUGAGACCGUUACAAAAACUCGUACUCCAAAUAAGAGACGUGUAAAUCAGCACCUUCCCUUGAAAUUUGAAAACACCCCCAAGAAAAGGCGGCUGGGGGAGAUUCAGGAUGAGCAAACCCAUGUAUUUGCCCGUCGCAGUUGUAGAGAGAGAUCUCUAGAAGAAAGAAGCGAGGAGGAACCAAUAGGAAGGGUCACCAGGAGGAAAUCAAAGCAAAUUGGAGUUCAACAAAAGAAUGGGAAAGGAAACGGUGUUCAUCUUAAACGCAACGCACCUACACCAGACCUCCGCUCUCAAGUGCAGUCUGUAAGAAGACAACACCUUGGUGACCCCAAUCCGAUGCAACAUGACAUGGACACGCUGUUCAAAGGAACUGGGCAGCUCACCAUCGCUCUUCUCAAAGGAUCGCUUCUGUAGGGCAAAGCAUUGAAAGUUAACACACCUUAUUAGGAACCUAUGACUAUAACUAAGUGUAUCUUACAAUUCUUGAUGAAUGUAUUUUUAUUUUUAUUUUUUUCUUAUGUACACUGAGAGCAUAUGCAUCAAAGACAAAUUCCUUGUAUCCAAUCACACUUGGCCAAUAAAUAAUUCUAU
This 1303-nucleotide long non-coding RNA is filed under the name Notechis scutatus (mainland tiger snake). RNAcentral describes it as "lncRNA (ENSNSUG00000012995.1)". Lineage: Eukaryota; Metazoa; Chordata; Lepidosauria; Squamata; Elapidae. The record is from RNAcentral.